This 211-nucleotide unclassified non-coding RNA is filed under the name Hevea brasiliensis (rubber tree). The record is from RNAcentral. Lineage: Eukaryota; Viridiplantae; Streptophyta; Magnoliopsida; Malpighiales; Euphorbiaceae.
UAUUUCUUGCAAGAACAAGAGCAAAAUGGGGAAGAGCUCUUUCGGGAAAGUAACAAUUCAAAUCGACAAAGUUGUAAUGUUGGGAGCGGUUGCCGGCGAGUACACCCUGUUGCCUGAAAGCAAAAGUGGACCUCGAAAUUUGGAAAUAGAAUUUCAGUGGUCUAACAAGUAAGCAACCAUUGCAUUAGUAGGAGACCAGCCCUUCCCCCUG